Eubalaena glacialis (North Atlantic right whale) is the source of this 860-nucleotide long non-coding RNA. RefSeq lists it as uncharacterized. The record is from RefSeq and is a predicted model, not a curated record. The transcript is spliced from 5 exons. NCBI's taxonomy places the organism in Eukaryota, Metazoa, Chordata, Mammalia, Artiodactyla, Balaenidae.
AAUCAGGUAACUUCCAAGAACUUGCUGCUGAUAAUCGCAUGUUUGCCAUCUGCUCGUGUUCUGGCAGAACUGCCACUGGAGAAAGUGGUUUCUCCUUCUCAGCUAUCUUCCAGAUCUCAUGUCUGUACCCCUCAGUGGCAGAAUGUGACCUGGAAGUAAAUGGGAAAAACAAUUCUGGGAAAUGCAGCCUUCUCACCUGUGAUGCAAAGCAAAACCUGGAGAGAGGCAGUGAUGACAUGGAAUUAAGAACAGACCAUCUGGCAAAAUGAACUCAAGGGCUUGGAGCUUUGUGAAUGUCCAUCAGGAUUUCCUACAUGCAGGUGCCAAGAUGCUCUACUAAAGGGAUACCCCUCACCUGUGCUCUUCCAGCACUACCUGGCCAGGUCAACAGAAGACAAAAGAAGAAGAUGGCCACCAAUUCAAGGAGAGAGGCCUCAGAAGAAACCAAACUUGCCAACAUCAUCAUCCUGGACCUCUAGCCUCCAGAUCUAUGUGCAGCUGAAUCUAACUCCAAUGGAUUCACCUACUAAAUGGAAAUCAAAAUGUUCCUUAAAGAAUCACUCAAGGAUACCGGCCUGUAAGUAGGAAGCUGCUCUUAGGAGAGAACAGCACGAUGGCAUUUCCAACAAUGGUGAAAACAAAGAGGACCCACAGAGUUAUCAACUGCUCAGUCUGUGAGAAACAAAGCAACACAAAACUGGUGUAUCAGUGAGGACCAGGGUACUUUACAGAAUGCAAGGCUCAGGCUUUGGUGUUGAAAUGUCUUCCUCUUGGUCUCCUAUCCCCACCUGUCAAAGCUCUACUCUCAAGAGAACAAAGACACAGUGGUCCUUAUUUAUACUGGCAGCAGUGUAAAUUGA